Molecule: ribosomal RNA, 716 nt
Filed under: Streptococcus sp. HFB0006
Lineage: Bacteria; Bacillati; Bacillota; Bacilli; Lactobacillales; Streptococcaceae
Description: bacterial SSU rRNA
Rfam family: Bacterial small subunit ribosomal RNA
Source: RNAcentral
GUGCUUGCACCGAGCGGAUGAGUUGCGAACGGGUGAGUAACGCGUAGGUAACCUGCCUCUUAGCGGGGGAUAACUAUUGGAAACGAUAGCUAAUACCGCAUAAAAGUCGACAUUGCAUGAUGUUGACUUGAAAGGUGCAAUUGCAUCACUAAGAGAUGGACCUGCGUUGUAUUAGCUAGUUGGUGAGGUAACGGCUCACCAAGGCGACGAUACAUAGCCGACCUGAGAGGGUGAUCGGCCACACUGGGACUGAGACACGGCCCAGACUCCUACGGGAGGCAGCAGUAGGGAAUCUUCGGCAAUGGGGGCAACCCUGACCGAGCAACGCCGCGUGAGUGAAGAAGGUUUUCGGAUCGUAAAGCUCUGUUGUAAGAGAAGAACGAGUGUGAGAGUGGAAAGUUCACACUGUGACGGUAACUUACCAGAAAGGGACGGCUAACUACGUGCCAGCAGCCGCGGUAAUACGUAGGUCCCGAGCGUUAUCCGGAUUUAUUGGGCGUAAAGCGAGCGCAGGCGGUUAGAUAAGUCUGAAGUUAAAGGCUGUGGCUUAACCAUAGUACGCUUUGGAAACUGUUUAACUUGAGUGCAGAAGGGGAGAGUGGAAUUCCAUGUGUAGCGGUGAAAUGCGUAGAUAUAUGGAGGAACACCGGUGGCGAAAGCGGCUCUCUGGUCUGUAACUGACGCUGAGGCUCGAAAGCGUGGGGAGCAACAGGAUU